AUUCUGUGUUUGACUUACUGCGAGGUUGCCGGACCUUUCUCCCAACCUGCAAGGUAUAAGGGUUCCUAUUCCUUUUUUUAAUUGCUAAAAUUGUGAUUUAAAAAAAGUAUAAACACGUUUUAAUCUUCUGUUUUGGGCUUUUUGAGGCAGGGUCUCACUAUAAAACAGCGGUGGUGAACCCAUGACACGCGCCAUUGUGGGCAUGCGGUCUCCUCUCUGUCAGCUUGCAAGGAUCAAUUUUUCUGCGAUCCCCUUUGUUGGGAGGUGCGGUACCAACUGCAGUGUCAACUAUCAGAAACGAAGAAGUUGCUCCUGUCACAACCCUUCCGGGGGGAAGGCAAUGGAUACCAGGGAGAGGGGGCUCCCCUCCAUUUCUGCUCCUCCUCCUGAGACAGCCUACGACAUAUUCUUCUUUCCCUCCUUCGAGGUCUGAGUGCCAAUGCCAGCUGGAACUCCUGCAGUGUGACAGCCUGGGGACCGAGGCAGCCCGCGCACCCACCCAGCACUGCUCUGCUUUUCCAAUUGGAAUCCAUCAGCAGCUCCUCCUGCCUUCCCCCUAGGCGCGGUGGAAAGGUUUCCUGUUUAUGCCUCGCUUGAGAACCCACAACGGAGAGAGGCUUUGAAACAAACCCACCGGUGAAGUGCGAGGAGGGAGAGGCGGCCCGUUUGUUUCUUCACUCCAGUUGCGCUACAGCUUGUGCCCGGGGCUCCCUGGGGCUCCGGAGAAGGAAGCCGAGGGCGGUGGCAUGAAUGACAGAGUUGUGAGCUGGUGACAAGCAUCUUCUUAGGUAAAUGCUUCGGGUUGCCUGCCUGCAGCAGUUCAGAUGUGGCUGGAUUCUCGUUUGCAGGAAGCGGUGAAAAAGGCUUUACUUUCUCUGGGCUGAGAGGCCCUAGGAAGGGGCAGAGGGACAGAAGCAAUUCCAGGGUGUGGCUGGGUGCCAGGCAGAGGUAGUGCAGGGUCAAGCCCCUUAUUUCAGGCCAUUCAAUUCAUUUAUGCACACAGUUAAUAAAUGUGAAUUUGAAUUAAGGACUCACCAAGAUGCUCAGAUUUUGGGAGCUUUCUUAGCCUUGAAUGUGGAACAUGACAGCUUGGAAAGGUUACGUGAUCUGCUGCAUGUCACAAGGUCAGUCAUCAGCAGUAGUAAAAGUCAAACUCGUCUCCUGCCUUCCAGUCUGGUGCUCCCAGCCUUUGUGGAGGUGGCUAAGAAGGGCCCAGCAGAUCCCUGCCUAGCAUACUGCUCUGGGUGGGGCACCUCCUUGCGGCCGGACAAAUGUGGCUGCCCGGGGCUGACACCUGGCCAUGUGCAUAGUGGCCUACCCUUCUGCAGUGCUGAUCUAUGACCUGAGCACUUCAUAGACUGCAUUCCGUGCUCUGUGUUUAUAAAGCCCCGUCAGCUCGGGGUGUGGACAGGAGUGACCUGCGCUGUCUAAACAAACCGCGAGCUUCUGGCGGCCUGCCUGGCUGCCUGCCUGCCGGGGUGCGUGUGACAUCCUCCUUCCCUCCAGGUCAGCCUGGCUGGAAAGACAACGCCCCAAAGCGAGCAGGGGCUGGUCGAUCUCCCAUGCAAAGGUGGGUGGAUCCCAGGAUGAUACUGCUGGCUCCCUAACCAAUCCUUGGUCUUUGAUUUCUUUUUUCCUAUUUCCCUUAAUCAUCAAGAGACAAAGAGAAGACCAUGGUGGGGGUGGAAUUGGAGCAGUUUUCACGUAUGAGAAGCCACAGAAGUCCAUUUCAGUAAAAAUGGAGGCCUAGAUGUUUCUGCCCCUAAAUAAUGCAACUUUGGCUUGUCAUCCUAGAUAUAUGUGUGAAAAAUCAGGCUUAAGCCUGUCAUUUUAAACAGCUUUGCAAAUGACACAGAAAUUAUGCUAUUUUUAGGUCAAACACCUUGCAGAAGUUGACAUUUUAAGGUUUGGUUACAUGUGAAAACAUCCAACGGGAAACGUGCAAUUUUUCUCUUCUCCAGGAACAAUAAACAGGAGGAGCAGCUUCAAUUUAUGUGUGUUCUUACCUCCUUGGGUUCGCAUCUCUGCUGUUUAUGGUGGAAUUCUCCAUGCAGGCCCUCAACAUGGCAAAUGUCACCGAAUGCCUGGCCCUCGGAGAUGCAGUCCGCCGUCCUUACAAAUGAGCACAGGUCAUUAGCGUGGGGCUGCUUUUGUUCCCUAACUAUGGUGUCUUCUCCCUCUGCACAGAGUGCGCUAUAUAUAAAGUCAGAACCAUUCAGAGUCACAAGAGGUCUAUAUAAAGCCCUACUGAGAGAUGAAAGAUGUUUUUAACCCUUUCUUCUUGGGAGCCUGUGGCAGCUGUAACCACUCAAGUCGCAGACUGUGCGAAGUUCUGUUCUGGGCCCAUGUGGCGUGGGGAGGCAGAUAGGAAGAGGACGGGGGGUGAGUGCAGCAGGAGGGAGGAAGAGGUGGUCUCCCCCUUGCAGAUCCUGCUCCCCACUUCCUGCUCAGGUUAGAGCUGCUGGGAUUGGGGACAAUGACAAAAGAGAAUAAGGUGUGCCUGGACGAGCAAGACUAGGGACAUGGGGACAGAGGUGCAGCUACCCACCCACCGGGAGUGCUGUUUGUGGUUAGGACCAGGGCCUUGUUCCCUGAAGUCUCUGCCCAGGGUCAGGGUGCUUGAAUCCACUAUGGUGGUA
Long non-coding RNA from Fukomys damarensis (Damara mole-rat), 2639 nucleotides. RefSeq lists it as uncharacterized. The record is from RefSeq and is a predicted model, not a curated record. NCBI's taxonomy places the organism in Eukaryota, Metazoa, Chordata, Mammalia, Rodentia, Bathyergidae. The transcript has 5 exons.